CAGCCGCCGCGGUAAUACAGAGGGUGCGAGCGUUAAUCGGAUUUACUGGGCGUAAAGCGUGCGUAGGCGGCUUCUUAAGUCGGAUGUGAAAUCCCUGAGCUUAACUUAGGAAUUGCAUUCGAUACUGGGAAGCUAGAGUAUGGGAGAGGAUGGUAGAAUUCCAGGUGUAGCGGUGAAAUGCGUAGAGAUUUGGAGGAAUACCGAUGGCGAAGGCAGCCAUCUGGCCUAAUACUGACGCUGAGGUACGAAAGCAUGGGGAGCAAACAGGAUUAGAUACCCCCGUAGUCCCUGUCUCUUAUAC
Molecule: ribosomal RNA, 301 nt
Filed under: uncultured bacterium
Lineage: Bacteria
Description: partial 16S ribosomal RNA
Rfam family: Bacterial small subunit ribosomal RNA
Source: RNAcentral